AGAGUUUGAUCCUGGCUCAGAUUGAACGCUGGCGGCAUGCCUUACACAUGCAAGUCGAACGCGAAAGGGGGGCAACUCCUGAGUAGAGUGGCGAACGGGUGAGUAAUACAUCGGAACAUAUCCAGUAGCGGGGGAUAACCUCGAGAAAUCGAGGCUAAUACGCAUACGUCCUAAGGGAGAAAGCAGGGGACCGCAAGGCCUUGCACUAUUGGAGUGGCCGAUGUCGGAUUAGCUAGUUGGCGGGGUAAAAGCCCACCAAGGCGACGAUCCGUAGCUGGUCUGAGAGGAUGAUCAGCCACACUGGGACUGAGACACGGCCCAGGCUCCUACGGGAGGCAGCAGUGGGGAAUUUUGGACAAUGGGCGCAAGCCUGAUCCAGCCAUGCCGCGUGAGUGAAGAAGGCCUUCGGGUUGUAAAGCUCUUUCGGCCGGGACGAAAUCGCAUGGGUGAAUAUCCCGUGUGGAUGACGGUACCGGAAUAAGAAGCACCGGCUAACUACGUGCCAGCAGCCGCGGUAAUACGUAGGGUGCGAGCGUUAAUCGGAAUUACUGGGCGUAAAGCGUGCGCAGGCGGUUUCGUAAGCCAGAUGUGAAAUCCCCGGGCUUAACCUGGGAACUGCAUUUGGGACUGCGAGGCUAGAGUACGGCAGAGGGAGGUGGAAUUCCACGUGUAGCAGUGAAAUGCGUAGAUAUGUGGAGGAACACCGAUGGCGAAGGCAGCCUCCUGGGCUAGUACUGACGCUCAUGCACGAAAGCGUGGGGAGCAAACAGGAUUAGAUACCCUGGUAGUCCACGCCCUAAACGAUGACAACUAGUUGUUGGGGAUUUAACAUCCUUAGUAACGUAGCUAACGCGUGAAGUUGUCCGCCUGGGGAGUACGGUCGCAAGAUUAAAACUCAAAGGAAUUGACGGGGGCCCGCACAAGCGGUGGAUGAUGUGGUUUAAUUCGAUGCAACGCGUAAAACCUUACCUACCCUUGACAUGCCAGGAAGUCCGAUGAAAGUUGGAUGUGCCCGAAAGGGAACCUGGACACAGGUGCUGCAUGGCUGUCGUCAGCUCGUGUCGUGAGAUGUUGGGUUAAGUCCCGCAACGAGCGCAACCCUUGUCAUUAGUUGCUACAUUUAGUUGGGCACUCUAAUGAGACUGCCGGUGACAAACCGGAGGAAGGUGGGGAUGACGUCAAGUCCUCAUGGCCCUUAUGGGUAGGGCUACACACGUCAUACAAUGGUCGGUACAGAGGGUUGCCAACCCGCGAGGGGGAGCCAAUCUCAGAAAGCCGAUCGUAGUCCGGAUUGUAGUCUGCAACUCGACUGCAUGAAGUCGGAAUCGCUAGUAAUCGCGGAUCAGCAUGUCGUGGUGAAUACGUUCCCGGGCCUUGUACACACCGCCCGUCACACCAUGGGAGUGGGUUCCACCAGAAGCCGUUAGCCUAACCGCAAGGAGGGCGACGACCACGGUGAGAUUCAUGACUGGGGUGAAGUCGUAACAAGGUA
Molecule: ribosomal RNA, 1492 nt
Filed under: metagenome
Description: bacterial SSU rRNA
Rfam family: Bacterial small subunit ribosomal RNA
Source: RNAcentral